GUCGAGCGGACAGAAGGGAGCUUGCUCCCGGAUGUUAGCGGCGGACGGGUGAGUAACACGUGGGUAACCUGCCUGUAAGACUGGGAUAACUCCGGGAAACCGGAGCUAAUACCGGAUAGUUCCUUGAACCGCAUGGUUCAAGGAUGAAAGACGGUUUCGGCUGUCACUUACAGAUGGACCCGCGGCGCAUUAGCUAGUUGGUGGGGUAAUGGCUCACCAAGGCGACGAUGCGUAGCCGACCUGAGAGGGUGAUCGGCCACACUGGGACUGAGACACGGCCCAGACUCCUACGGGAGGCAGCAGUAGGGAAUCUUCCGCAAUGGACGAAAGUCUGACGGAGCAACGCCGCGUGAGUGAUGAAGGUUUUCGGAUCGUAAAGCUCUGUUGUUAGGGAAGAACAAGUGCGAGAGUAACUGCUCGCACCUUGACGGUACCUAACCAGAAAGCCACGGCUAACUACGUGCCAGCAGCCGCGGUAAUACGUAGGUGGCAAGCGUUGUCCGGAAUUAUUGGGCGUAAAGGGCUCGCAGGCGGUUUCUUAAGUCUGAUGUGAAAGCCCCCGGCUCAACCGGGGAGGGUCAUUGGAAACUGGGAAACUUGAGUGCAGAAGAGGAGAGUGGAAUUCCACGUGUAGCGGUGAAAUGCGUAGAGAUGUGGAGGAACACCAGUGGCGAAGGCGACUCUCUGGUCUGUAACUGACGCUGA
Molecule: ribosomal RNA, 705 nt
Filed under: unidentified microorganism
Description: bacterial SSU rRNA
Rfam family: Bacterial small subunit ribosomal RNA
Source: RNAcentral